Molecule: long non-coding RNA, 1273 nt
Filed under: Papio anubis (olive baboon)
Lineage: Eukaryota; Metazoa; Chordata; Mammalia; Primates; Cercopithecidae
Description: lncRNA (ENSPANG00000045303.1)
Source: RNAcentral
GGAAGGGUUUAUAACUUCAGGUGGAUGCUGAACAGAUAAUUCUGCAGAGCAAGCUUUAUAAAAAGCCAAAGUAGAUGAUGUGGGGUAGAGGGUGAAAGGGGAUGAGUGAAGGCUCCUAGAAUGAAGCUCCAACUUUCCAACUUGAGAGUUCAGUGAUCAGAGGCAUAUUUCAAUGUCUUUUUAGGUGAGAUAUAUAACAUACCUUUCCUAACCCAUGAUAUUUUUAAGAUUAAAAACUGAAGGUGAGUAAAUCUUGAAACUGAAACACGAUGCAAAUCUUGAAGCAUGAAGCAAAUAUUAAUAAUUAUUCUCACUGGUCUUCAUGCUAGUAAUGAUGAUGCCAUUGAAUCUUGAAGGUCCUUAGUAUUGAAGAAUCUGCUAUCAACAAGUAUACAAGCAUAGAAGGGCACAGACGUUAAAUGUUCUUGGACAAGUAUUACUGAUGUUACCUGGAAGUGGUAGAAAUGAGACCCAGGGAGAAUGUUCCAUUUGAGGAAGAGGGGAUACUGAUGCCAUAUGGCUGUGAUCAUCUUCCUAUAUCUCAAAGACUUUGCCCUAAACAUUGUUGCAUUUCCUUAAAGAAAAGAUCAAGAGUUGAGAUUAAACUUGACUUAAAACGCCAGAUAUUUGCCAGAACCUCUAGGAAAUUGAUGAAAUAUUCCUGUCUGAAGGCUGCAACCAAACAUGAUCUCAUCCAUAUCAGCAGCAUUACUAAUAAAACACCAAGGUGCUUCCUGACCUCCAGGAGAGAUGUGUUAAAUUGGAUGGCAGAAAUAAGUCACUGGAACAAAAUGCUUGAGAAAGAACCUGCUCUGCUCCCUACUUUCUUAAAAAUACACUCACAUGUUCUCCCAUAUACCAAAACAAUUAUUCUAGAUUGGAGAUAUUUAAGGAUUCACACUUACGUAAAGGUAGAGAAGACUGCUUUUGAAGCUCUGUGGCUGAUCAACAACAUGUUUUAAAAGGCUUUUGAUGUAUACAUGGCUCAUUAAGUAAAGGUCAAAAUUGGACAAUGUCCUGUUAAUUUCCUUUUGCUAGAAAAAUCAAUAUCUGCAUCAACAUUCAUUAAAUUUGACAGAAGCUAAGAAAGUUAGAUGUGAAAUGUAAAUCAAUACUUAUUCCUGGUAGGAUUAACUUGCUGUACAGAGAAUAUAAAGCAUCAAUUCUUUAUACACAUUGUUCCACCCAAUAUUCCACUCUGGCUUUAGGGAGGCCACAUUUUGCCUUUGUGGCCUUCAACCAUAAUCUGGUUUUGGGUUUCUGUUAGCUGGAG